RNAcentral lists this ribosomal RNA (513 nucleotides) under uncultured Sphingomonas sp. RNAcentral's name for it is "bacterial SSU rRNA". It matches the Rfam family "Bacterial small subunit ribosomal RNA", at positions 75 to 625 of the family's 1533-position model. Lineage: Bacteria; Pseudomonadati; Pseudomonadota; Alphaproteobacteria; Sphingomonadales; Sphingomonadaceae. The record is from RNAcentral.
CGAAGCCCUUCGGGCUUAAGGGCGCACGGGUGCGUANCGCGUGGGAAUCUGCCCUUGGGUUCGGAAUAACAGUUAGAAAUGACUGCUAAUACCGGAUAAUGUCUUCGGACCAAAGAUUUAUUGCCCAAGGAUGAGCCCGCGUAGGAUUAGCUUGUUGGUGAGGUAAAGGCUCACCAAGGCGACGAUCCUUAGCUGGUCUGAGAGGAUGAUCAGCCACACUGGGACUGAGACACGGCCCAGACUCCUACGGGAGGCAGCAGUGGGGAAUAUUGGACAAUGGGCGAAAGCCUGAUCCAGCAAUGCCGCGUGAGUGAUGAAGGCCUUAGGGUUGUAAAGCUCUUUUACCCGGGAUGAUAAUGACAGUACCGGGAGAAUAAGCCCCGGCUAACUCCGUGCCAGCAGCCGCGGUAAUACGGAGGGGGCUAGCGUUGUUCGGAAUUACUGGGCGUAAAGCGCACGUAGGCGGCUUUGUAAGUUAGAGGUGAAAGCCCAGAGCUCAACUCUGGAACUGCC